AUAAUUUAUGUAAAUCAUUAAUCGCAAUAAUCUUCUUGAUUAAUUGCAAUAAUCAAAAGAAAAAACAGAAAUAAAUGAUUCAAGAGAGAUUUUAUUAAACUGAGUAAGAUAAUGCCCGCUGGUAUUUGAAUCUUAUUGUGAAAUUAUAUAAUACAAUAACUGGAAGAAGAUAUAAAGAGAGAAAGUGUAUUAAAUAGCUAAUUACAAAGCCAAUGCAUUUCAGCAUUAAUUGAAUAACAGUGAAAUUUCGUAUUUGAAUUUUUUUUCAUGGUCACAAUGUUCACAUAAUUGAAGAAAGAAAAGGAAGUUGAACUCGUGAUUGUUCUCUCUCUGGAUGGUAUCGAUAAUUUAUCUAGCACGAAUGAAAUAAAUCGAUCGAUACAAGUUUUAUGUACAAUGGAUGAUUCACGACUGCGAGGCUAGACGACACUUUCGAGCCACCAUUAAAAAUCCACUAUGUAGACGCAAUAGUACUUGUAUAUCGGUGGAGGUUUGUCUGCCGACAGUAUGGUGGCAUUUAACCGAUCCAUGCCAUCGUGUUCGCCAGUUCUAUUACGCAACUAAUGCCUUUAAGCCGGCGGCAACGAUUGUGACGACGACGUCGACGACAACGAAGAUGACAACAGCAACAUCGACCUCAUGUGGUUCAGCUUAGAUUCUUGCGAAAUUUUUAAUUCUCAUGUGGAUUUCUCAUUACAGAUGGAAUUAAGUUCAAUAUAUAUUUACAAAUUCCAUUCAAUUUUAAUAAGCAUCAAUGAUCAGUAU
This is a long non-coding RNA of Apis dorsata (giant honeybee), 765 nucleotides long. RefSeq lists it as uncharacterized. The transcript is spliced from 3 exons. NCBI's taxonomy places the organism in Eukaryota, Metazoa, Arthropoda, Insecta, Hymenoptera, Apidae. The record is from RefSeq and is a predicted model, not a curated record.